This is a long non-coding RNA of Neogale vison (American mink), 621 nucleotides long. RefSeq lists it as uncharacterized. The transcript is spliced from 3 exons. NCBI's taxonomy places the organism in Eukaryota, Metazoa, Chordata, Mammalia, Carnivora, Mustelidae. The record is from RefSeq and is a predicted model, not a curated record.
GAAGGCAGAGGCUUUGAUCCACUGAGCCAUCCAGGCGCCCCAAAAAGGAAGACUUUUCAAGUGUGGUGGGGCCGGAGGGGGUCCUUUAUUAAAAAAAAAAAAAAGUACCGCUCACGCACUGACCAAUCGGAACAGACGCAGAGAACAAGUCAACCAAUCAGAACCAUCACCAGGCAAAAUCACCGCCUCCCUGAGGAAAGCUCCAGGUAGAACCUUCCUGCUCUCACCAAGCCUGCGCAGUCGAAGCUCCAAGUCGUGGAAGCUCUGCCCCGUGAGCUUCUCCUCCGUGUCGAGGCAGGCUGUGGCCUUCGCAGGCGUUAGCCGGGAUCGUCCUCACUCCCUGCAAGGCUUUGAAGGGAGGACUCUGAAUGUCCCACAGAAUGGAAACUGCAUACUGCUCUCUACAAGCGAACACGAUGGCAUAGAAGAAGGGCCAUCAGGAUAGAGACAUCUCAAAGUCAUUGUGGUCCCAGUGGAUGAUCUGCCCUACCCUACCUAGGCAAUACUGCCCUCAAUCAUGAAUUCCAAUUAGACGUAACCAAAAAGCCUCGGAGCCAACUUUCUGCUAAAACAGAUGCCAAGCAAUUAAGGUUUCUCAAAAAGAAGAAGAAGAAGAAGGAG